GAUGAAGAACGCAGCGAAAUGCGAUAAGUAGUGUGAAUUGCAGAAUUCAGUGAAUCAUCGAAUCUUUGAACGCACAUUGCGCCCUGUGGUAUUCCGCAGGGCAUGCCUGUUCGAGCGUCAUUGACACCCUCAAGCUCUGCUUGGUCUUGGGCGUUUGUGCCUGCCGUUGCGCAGGGACUCGCCUCAAACUCAUUGGCAGCCUGCCUUUGCCGGUCUUUGCACAGCACAGUCGUGCCAAAGCCGCGGUGAGCAGGCGCUCCACAAGCCCUUUUCAGCUUGACCUCGGAUCAGGUAGGAAUACCCGCUGAACUUAAGCAUAUCAAUAGCGGAGGA
This 333-nucleotide unclassified non-coding RNA is filed under the name soil metagenome. RNAcentral describes it as "partial contains 5.8S ribosomal RNA, internal transcribed spacer 2, and large subunit ribosomal RNA". The stretch from base 1 to 120 matches the Rfam family "5.8S ribosomal RNA", at positions 35 to 154 of the family's 154-position model. The record is from RNAcentral.